AUUGAACGCUGGCGGCAGGCCUAACACAUGCAAGUCGAACGGUAACACGAAGAAGCUUGCUUCUUUGCUGACGAGUGGCGGACGGGUGAGUAAUGUCUGGGAAACUGCCUGAUGGAGGGGGAUAACUACUGGAAACGGUAGCUAAUACCGCAUAACGUCGCAAGACCAAAAAGGGGGACCUUCGGGCCUCUUGCCAUCGGAUGUGCCCAGAUGGGAUUAGCUAGUAGGUGGGGUAACGGCUCACCUAGGCGACGAUCCCUAGCUGGUCUGAGAGGAUGACCAGCCACACUGGAACUGAGACACGGUCCAGACUCCUACGGGAGGCAGCAGUGGGGAAUAUUGCACAAUGGGCGCAAGCCUGAUGCAGCCAUGCCGCGUGUAUGAAGAAGGCCUUCGGGUUGUAAAGUACUUUCAGCGGGGAGGAAGGGAGUAAAGUUAAUACCUUGGCUCAUUGACGUUACCCGCAGAAGAAGCACCGGCUAACUCCGUG
RNAcentral lists this ribosomal RNA (490 nucleotides) under uncultured bacterium. Its description in RNAcentral is "partial 16S ribosomal RNA". It matches the Rfam family "Bacterial small subunit ribosomal RNA", at positions 30 to 507 of the family's 1533-position model. The record is from RNAcentral.